CAUGUGCAACUGGGGGAGGGGCAGAGAGAGGGACAGAGAAUCCUAAGCAGGCUCCAUGCUGUUGGCGCUGAGCCCGUUGGGCUCCAUCUCAUGAAACGUGAGAACAUGAACUGAAACCGAGUCGAUGCCUGAACAACUGAACCCCCCUCCCCCCCAGGCUCCCCUAGGUUUCCUUUUACUCUAAUUCAUACAGUUGGAUGCUGUUACUCAUAGCAGCUUUGUUCUGGAAGUUCAUUAUGAACACUGAAUCAGCAAGUGCUGAACCAUGGCUCCUGGGGAGAUCCCACGCAAGGUGCCUGUGAGUCUCUGGCCGCAACACUUGCGUCAACCAAUCAAUACGUAACUUUGUUUUAUGCCUCUCUGUUAAAGACCUCUUAAUACAUGUUGGUAAUUCAUUAAUCUUGAACUCAGGGCCAACAGCUGCAACACUUACGUGAAGCUUGUCUAGCGCAUUUUCUCUGUAAGGCUUAGCAGCCUUCCUGCACUUAACACUAGCCAGCACUUCAGCACUAUGCUUAGGGGCAUUUCAGCACAAUCACCGACAGCACAAAGAUGGGAAAACUGUGGCGCAAAAUAGAGCUAAAGAAAAACACUGGUUUACAGUGCCAGAGCUGAGGCGCGGAGGCAGCGUCCCCUCUUUUGAUUUCAGCUGGGAACACGCACGUCAGACAAUUCAGAUCAUUGCACGUCUGCGGUGACGUGGGUUUGGGGUCACAAGCAAAUUUGCAACUGCAGAAUCUAAUGAGGAUCCGCUGUGUGAUGUAAAUCGACCCUUUCAGUCCCGCUGUGCACAGACGCAGGUAGAUGGUUUGCCCAGCAGGGACCCUGUGGCCACAGUCCCACGCUGUGGGUUUCAGCAGCCUUGUGACUGGUCUGCUUCCGUUUCCUUCCUGUCCUUCAGUUCCCGGGACGGCAGCCACUGUGAUACCGCUUUGCUCGAGAUGCCGCGGUGGCUGCCCUUCCUGCUCAGGUGUCCUGUGUCCGGCCCCACUGCUGCCCUCUCCUCCACCAGUGCGCCCUCCUCACACUGUGUGCGUCCGGGUGAGCCUGGCUGUCCCCUGAGAGACCAAGCCUCGUCCGCCCCAGAGCCUCUGUUCUUGCCAGUCCCUCGGCCUUGAGGACACCCUUCCCUGGGAACACCCUUCCUCCGGUUCGAACGUCCCCUUCUUGGGUCUUGGGCUACGUCAGGAGCAGCCACUCCCCCACGCACUCCUCUCUCACCCUCCUGGGUGUUCCCCACGCCCUCGUCACCGUCCGGAGCGACUGCUUACCGUCCGUCUGCGCCGCUGGAAUGCAAGCUUCCGGAGCAGGGGCUUCGGCAGCUGCGUUCCGGUACCUGGAAGGGAAAUGGGCACGUAACUGUUAGGCUUCAAAUAAGGAUUGACGAAUGAGUGGUGGCCCUUGGUUCGCUGGAGUGAAAUCCUAAAAUGCACUCCUUUUCCAUCCAGAGCCGUGCAGCCAGCACCGGUCAGUUUCACAACACUUUUGCGAACCCAAACAAGCCCCACGCCGCUUUGUGGUCACCCCAGCCCUCCAGCCCCAAGCAGCCGCUGGUCUGCUCUCUGUGUGUGCACGUCGGCCUGUUCGGGACGUUCCGUGCGAUGCAGCUCUAGAAGCCGGUCUGCAGGCUUCUGGCGUCUUCCACGUGCUGUAGCGCUGCCAGGCUCACCGAUGCUGGGCGAAUGGUGGAAACCCACAGCUUACUAGACAAGGGAAAUAACAGCGGGGGUCUGUGUUUGUUAUUGCCGAAUAAACGUCCCUCGUGUGAUUACACUGCAUCUUGUUCAUUCAUCGGGUGGCGGACGUCGGGGUUGCCUCCGACUGGGGGCUGCUGUGAAUACUCAUGUACAAGUUUUGUGUGGACUUAGGCUUUCGUUUUUCUUGAGUAUGAACCCCAGUGGAAUUGCUGGGUCAUAUCUUGGUUUAUUUUUAAUCCGUCUUUGUACCAGACAUUCACAUUCGUGAUUCACAUUUAAAAGGAGUCUGCCUUCCCCUAUUUUCACCUAUAAGAGCCCCAUAUAAAUGGAAGCUGGACUGACUCUUGAGUGAAUGUAUAUGAAUUUGUUAGUUACUGUUGAAGUAGGUCUCGCGGUUGGAGAGGACUUUUGAUUCCUUUCAUGUUGGCAGGAAGAAUUUCUUCUCUAAGUUCCUUUAUACCUAACACUAGGAAGGGCCAAGUCUUUGAUUCUGUACCGAGAGCUUUAUGUAAUAACAUUCUCUGAAAAAUUCUGAAUCAUACAGAAUGAGAGAAUCCAGGGUAAAUUGUCUUCUGAGUCCUGAGCAAUCUAAGGACUUACUUUUCUGAUUAUAAUAUGCUCGCUUUGGAAAAUACACAACAGAUUGAAUAGAAAUCGCCCGUAUGAUCUUCCUUAGGGUUAGCCACUGUUAACUCUCUCACCGGUCCAGUUUAGAUGCUGAGUAAGUGUACUGGUGGACUGUGGCAAAUUACAGGCCAUCUAUUUAAAAAUAGUCUCCAAAAAAAAUAGUCUCAAAGAAGAAAUUAAAAUAUGUUUUUUUUUUUCCUUCUCACUGGUCUUCGAAAGUAUUUUGAAGUCUUAGAAAACCCUUUCUGGUCUACGGACACACCAUCCUGAACGCGCCCGAUCUCGUCUUAUCUCGGAAAACCCUUUCUGUAUACCACAGCAGAAAGUAUCGUUUGUGAAGUAAACAGUAUGUGUCAGUUACCUUA
This is a long non-coding RNA of Herpailurus yagouaroundi (jaguarundi), 2689 nucleotides long. RefSeq lists it as uncharacterized. The record is from RefSeq and is a predicted model, not a curated record. The transcript is spliced from 2 exons. Lineage: Eukaryota; Metazoa; Chordata; Mammalia; Carnivora; Felidae.